GAUGAAGAACGUAGCGAAAUGCGAUAAGUAAUGUGAAUUGCAGAAUUCCGUGAAUCAUCGAAUCUUUGAACGCACAUUGCGCCCCCUGGCAUUCCGGGGGGCAUGCCUGUCCGAGCGUCAUUUCUGCCCUCCAGCCCGGCUGGGUGUUGGGCGCUGUCCCCCCGGGGACACGCCCCAAAGGCAGUGGCGGCGCCGCGUCGGGUCCUCGAGCGUAUGGGGCUUUGUCACCCGCUCUUGUAGGCCCGGCCGGCGCUUGCCGACACAUCAAUCUUUUUUCCAGGUUGACCUCGGAUCAGGUAGGGAUACCCGCUGAACUUAAGCAUAUCAAUAAGCGGAGGA
This 339-nucleotide unclassified non-coding RNA is filed under the name soil metagenome. RNAcentral describes it as "partial contains 5.8S ribosomal RNA, internal transcribed spacer 2, and large subunit ribosomal RNA". The stretch from base 1 to 120 matches the Rfam family "5.8S ribosomal RNA", at positions 35 to 154 of the family's 154-position model. The record is from RNAcentral.